UACGAAGGGGGCUAGCGUUGUUCGGAUUUACUGGGCGUAAAGGGCGCGUAGGCGGCCAGCACAAGUCAGUUGUGAAAUCUCCGAGCUUAACUCGGAAAGGUCAACUGAUACUGUGCGGCUAGAGUGCGGAAGGGGCAACUGGAAUUCCUGGUGUAGCGGUGAAAUGCGCAGAUAUCAGGAGGAACACCGGUGGCGAAGGCGGGUCUCUGGGCCGAUACUGACGCUGAGGAGCGAAAGCGUGGGGAGCGAACAGG
RNAcentral lists this ribosomal RNA (254 nucleotides) under uncultured bacterium. RNAcentral describes it as "partial 16S ribosomal RNA". It matches the Rfam family "Bacterial small subunit ribosomal RNA", at positions 524 to 776 of the family's 1533-position model. The record is from RNAcentral.